Non-coding RNA from Parelaphostrongylus tenuis, 71 nucleotides. NCBI's taxonomy places the organism in Eukaryota, Metazoa, Nematoda, Chromadorea, Rhabditida, Metastrongylidae. The record is from the annotation of a GenBank genome assembly.
GCCUUGGUGGUGUAGUGGUAGCAUGCGUCAUCAGUAUGGAUGAAAUGCGGGUUCAACUCCGGCCUGAAGCA